This 164-nucleotide ribosomal RNA is filed under the name uncultured bacterium. RNAcentral describes it as "partial 16S ribosomal RNA". It matches the Rfam family "Bacterial small subunit ribosomal RNA", at positions 355 to 511 of the family's 1533-position model. The record is from RNAcentral.
UAGGGAAUCUUCCACAAUGGACGAAAGUCNGAUGGAGCAACGCCGCGUGAGUGAAGAAGGGUUUCGGCUCGUAAAACUCUGUUGUUAAAGAAGAACAUAUCUGAGAGUAACUGUUCAGGUAUUGACGGUAUUUAACCAGAAAGCCACGGCUAACUACGUGCCAG